Molecule: ribosomal RNA, 484 nt
Filed under: uncultured bacterium
Lineage: Bacteria
Description: partial 16S ribosomal RNA
Rfam family: Bacterial small subunit ribosomal RNA
Source: RNAcentral
AUUGAACGCUGGCGGCAGGCCUAACACAUGCAAGUCGAGCGGAAGAAGGGAGCUUGCUCCUGGAUUCAGCGGCGGACGGGUGAGUAAUGCCUAGGAAUCUGCCUGGUAGUGGGGGAUAACGUCCGGAAACGGGCGCUAAUACCGCAUACGUCCUGAGGGAGAAAGUGGGGGAUCUUCGGACCUCACGCUAUCAGAUGAGCCUAGGUCGGAUUAGCUAGUUGGUGGGGUAAAGGCCUACCAAGGCGACGAUCCGUAACUGGUCUGAGAGGACGACCAGGCACACUGGGACUGGGACACGGACCAGACACCUACGGGAGGCAGCAGGGGGGAAUUUUGGGCAAGGGGGGGAAACCCGAUCCCGCCAGUCCCCGUGGUGGAAAAAGGCUUUCCGGUUGUAAACUGCUUUUGAGUGGGGAGAAAAGGCUGUGGCUAAUACCUGGGGUUUUUGACGGUAACGAACAAAUAAGCACCGGCUAACUACGUG